RNAcentral lists this small nuclear RNA (189 nucleotides) under Neotoma lepida (desert woodrat). Its description in RNAcentral is "U2 spliceosomal RNA". It matches the Rfam family "U2 spliceosomal RNA". Rfam says of the family: U2 is a small nuclear RNA (snRNA) component of the spliceosome (involved in pre-mRNA splicing). Complementary binding between U2 snRNA (in an area lying towards the 5' end but 3' to hairpin I) and the branchpoint sequence (BPS) of the intron results the bulging out of an unpaired adenosine, on the BPS, which initiates a nucleophilic attack at the intronic 5' splice site, thus starting the first of two transesterification reactions that mediate splicing. Lineage: Eukaryota; Metazoa; Chordata; Mammalia; Rodentia; Cricetidae. The record is from Rfam by way of RNAcentral.
AUUNCUUCUUGGUCUUUUAGCUAAGAUCCAGUGCAGUAUCUGUUCUCAACAGUUUAACAACUGAUAUGUCCUCUAACUGAGGAAUAUAUUUAAGUGGAUUUUUGGAACAGAAAGAUGAAAUAGAAGCUCUCUCCAGCCACUGCACACACUGACAGGUAUUGUACUACCUCUGAGAAUAGGGCACCCCCU